This 242-nucleotide ribosomal RNA is filed under the name uncultured bacterium. RNAcentral describes it as "partial 16S ribosomal RNA". It matches the Rfam family "Bacterial small subunit ribosomal RNA", at positions 15 to 244 of the family's 1533-position model. The record is from RNAcentral.
GAUCCUGGCUCAGGACGAACGCUGGCGGCGUGCCUAAUACAUGCAAGUCGAACGAGAGCGACCGGUGCUUGCACUGGUCAAUCUAGUGGCGAACGGGUGAGUAACACGUGGGUAACCUGCCCAUCAGAGGGGGAUAACAUUCGGAAACGGAUGCUAAAACCGCAUAGGUCCUUUAACCGCAUGGUUGAAGGGAGGAAAAGAGGCGCAAGCUUCUGCUGAUGGAUGGACCCGCGGUGCAUUAG